AUUGAACGCUGGCGGAAUGCUUUACACAUGCAAGUCGAACGGUAGAGGGGGCAACCCCUUGAGAGUGGCGAACGGGUGAGUAAUAUAUCGGAACGUGCCCAGUCGUGGGGGAUAACGUAGUGAAAAUUACGCUAAUACCGCAUACGAUCUAAGGAUGAAAGCGGGGGAUCGCAAGACCUCGCGCGAUUGGAGCGGCCGAUAUCAGAUUAGGUAGUUGGUGGGGUAAAGGCCCACCAAGCCAACGAUCUGUAGCUGGUCUGAGAGGACGACCAGCCACACUGGAACUGAGACACGGUCCAGACUCCUACGGGAGGCAGCAGUGGGGAAUAUUGCACAAUGGGGGAAACCCUGAUGCAGCCAUGCCGCGUGUGUGAAGAAGGCCUC
Molecule: ribosomal RNA, 384 nt
Filed under: uncultured bacterium
Lineage: Bacteria
Description: bacterial SSU rRNA
Rfam family: Bacterial small subunit ribosomal RNA
Source: RNAcentral